This 466-nucleotide ribosomal RNA is filed under the name Vreelandella stevensii. RNAcentral describes it as "partial 16S ribosomal RNA". It matches the Rfam family "Bacterial small subunit ribosomal RNA", at positions 338 to 795 of the family's 1533-position model. The record is from RNAcentral. Lineage: Bacteria; Pseudomonadati; Pseudomonadota; Gammaproteobacteria; Oceanospirillales; Halomonadaceae.
CCUACGGGGAGGCAGCAGUGGGGAAUAUUGGACAAUGGGGGCAACCCUGAUCCAGCCAUGCCGCGUGUGUGAAGAAGGCCCUCGGGUUGUAAAGCACUUUCAGUGAGGAAGAACGCCUGGUGGUUAAUACCCAUCAGGAAAGACAUCACUCACAGAAGAAGCACCGGCUAACUCCGUGCCAGCAGCCGCGGUAAUACGGAGGGUGCGAGCGUUAAUCGGAAUUACUGGGCGUAAAGCGCGCGUAGGUGGCUUGAUAAGCCGGUUGUGAAAGCCCCGGGCUCAACCUGGGAACGGCAUCCGGAACUGUCAAGCUAGAGUGCAGGAGAGGAAGGUAGAAUUCCCGGUGUAGCGGUGAAAUGCGUAGAGAUCGGGAGGAAUACCAGUGGCGAAGGCGGCCUUCUGGACUGACACUGACACUGAGGUGCGAAAGCGUGGGUAGCAAACAGGAUUAGAUACCCCAGUAGUC